GCAAAGUUCACUGUUCGGCGCCAUGGAUCUCCAGGUGGGUCACGGUUAGAAAUACACCAACCUGGAGGACUCCAUGCUGUCGA
Molecule: microRNA precursor, 83 nt
Filed under: Octodon degus (degu)
Lineage: Eukaryota; Metazoa; Chordata; Mammalia; Rodentia; Octodontidae
Description: microRNA 490 (ENSODEG00000021861.1)
Rfam family: mir-490 microRNA precursor family
Source: RNAcentral